Molecule: ribosomal RNA, 301 nt
Filed under: uncultured bacterium
Lineage: Bacteria
Description: partial 16S ribosomal RNA
Rfam family: Bacterial small subunit ribosomal RNA
Source: RNAcentral
CAGUAGCCGCGGUAAUACGAAGGGGGCUAGCGUUGUUCGGAAUUACUGGGCGUAAAGCGCACGUAGGCGGACAUUUAAGUCAGGGGUGAAAUCCCGGGGCUCAACCCCGGAACUGCCUUUGAUACUGGGUGUCUAGAGUAUGGAAGAGGUGAGUGGAAUUCCGAGUGUAGAGGUGAAAUUCGUAGAUAUUCGGAGGAACACCAGUGGCGAAGGCGGCUCACUGGUCCAUUACUGACGCUGAGGUGCGAAAGCGUGGGGAGCAAACAGGAUUAGAUACCCCCGUAGUCCCUGUCUCUUAUAA